UCUUCCUCCUCUAUAUCUUCUUUCUCUCCUAUUCUUCCUCCUAUUCCUCUUCAGAGAUCUCAGAGAGUCUAAGAGAUCUGAAGAAGAAAUCAGAAUUAAUUAUCAGGAGACGACUUUUGUAAGGGAGCUAGCACUCCGAUGAAAUCAAGAGCCUCUGAUUAGAUUGAAGACUUCGUAUAGAUAUUCAUAGAGAUCAGAUACGUGUGUGGCUUUACAAGAACCUCAUCGAUUUAUCACGAUCAUCAGCAGCAG
Molecule: long non-coding RNA, 252 nt
Filed under: Elaeis guineensis (African oil palm)
Lineage: Eukaryota; Viridiplantae; Streptophyta; Magnoliopsida; Arecales; Arecaceae
Description: long non-coding RNA (EGUI_LNC027871)
Source: RNAcentral